AUUGCCUUAGUAGCGGCGAGUGAGCGGCAAAAGCUCAAAUUUGAAAUCUGGCGCCUUCGGUGUCCGAGUUGUAAUUUGAAGAUUGUAACCUUGGGGUUGGCUCUUGUCUAUGUUUCUUGGAACAGGACGUCACAGAGGGUGAGAAUCCCGUGCGAUGAGAUGCCCAAUUCUAUGUAAGGUGCUUUCGAAGAGUCGAGUUGUUUGGGAAUGCAGCUCUAAGUGGGUGGUAAAUUCCAUCUAAAGCUAAAUAUUGGCGAGAGACCGAUAGCGAACAAGUACAGUGAUGGAAAGAUGAAAAGAACUUUGAAAAGAGAGUGAAAAAGUACGUGAAAUUGUUGAAAGGGAAGGGUUUGAGAUCAGACUCGAUAUUUUGUGAGCCUUGCCUUCGUGGCGGGGUGACCCGCAGCUUAUCGGGCCAGCAUCGGUUUGGGCGGUAGGAUAAUGGCGUAGGAAUGUGACUUUACUUCGGUGAAGUGUUAUAGCCUGCGUUGAUGCUGCCUGCCUAGACCGAGGACUGCGAUUUUAUCAAGGAUGCUGGCAUAAUGAUCCCAAACCGCCCGUCUUGAAACACGGACCAAAAA
Molecule: ribosomal RNA, 581 nt
Filed under: Meyerozyma guilliermondii
Lineage: Eukaryota; Fungi; Ascomycota; Pichiomycetes; Serinales; Debaryomycetaceae
Description: eukaryotic LSU rRNA
Rfam family: Eukaryotic large subunit ribosomal RNA
Source: RNAcentral